UACGGAGGGCGCAAGCGUUGUUCGGAAUUACUGGGCGUAAAGCGCGUGUAGGCGGUCUGGCAAGUCGGUUGUGAAAUCCCCGGGCUCAACCCGGGAACUGCAUCCGAAACUGCUGGGCUAGAGUUCCGGAGAGGAAGGCAGAAUUCCCAAUGUAGGGGUGAAAUCCGUAGAUAUUGGGAGGAAUACCAGUGGCGAAGGCGGCCUUCUGGACGGUGACUGACGCUGAGACGCGAAAGCGUGGGGAGCAAACAGG
This 253-nucleotide ribosomal RNA is filed under the name uncultured bacterium. RNAcentral describes it as "partial 16S ribosomal RNA". It matches the Rfam family "Bacterial small subunit ribosomal RNA", at positions 524 to 776 of the family's 1533-position model. The record is from RNAcentral.